GGGGAUGACCGGUUUUGACAGCGUGUAGAGGUGGUGAGUAAGCAUGCAGAGUAGCGGUGCCCACACUCUAUAAUCAGAGACACCACAAUUUUAAAUGGCGAAAACAACUACGCUCUCGCUGCUUAAUCGAAGCACAGUAAAUUAAGCUCAAUCCGCGCCACAGUGGCGCAGACGAGACAUCGCCCGAUUGUCCACUUCCUGAGACUAAUCGACACGGCGGUGCAGCUAAAUCGGGAAUAGGAGACCAAGAGUUCCGCGAGGUCUCCGAGAUUUCAGGAACUAAGCGUGCGGUUGGUAGUCCUUGGCCUGCCACACGACGAAAACCAAACAUCGACUAAGCAUGUAGAAAGCUCAUUAGUUCCACGUUUGGACGAGGGUUCAAGUCCCUCCAUCUCCACU
Molecule: transfer-messenger RNA, 399 nt
Filed under: human gut metagenome
Rfam family: transfer-messenger RNA
About the family: Bacterial tmRNA, also known as 10Sa RNA or SsrA, is named for its dual tRNA and mRNA-like properties. Its role is to liberate the mRNA from a stalled ribosome.
Source: RNAcentral